UCCUUGGACCAAGAGCCCCUCAUUGGCAUUAAGGCCUUUGUUAUACUGUACCUAUGAUGCGUUUCAAGAUUUUUCCUACUCCUUGUAUGGUACAUGUCCGGGCUGGUUGCCUGCUGACCCACAUCCAUCACAGUCUGGUUGAUCUGGCUCCUGGUAAGGAUACUUGUCCAGUUUCCUUGUGAGGAAAAAGUCGGUGAAAUGGAGGUAUGGAGGUAGAGACUCUUAGGAGCCUCUAGUGUCACCAUCAACACUGCCAUCUAGCGGGCAGCUGCCAAAACGUCAAUUUCCACAUGUCUGGGACUCUAGUUUCUACUCCUGGUAGUACUGACCUUACCUGUUGUGGGUUGAAGUGUGGGUGGUCACUUGACCUCCACUCUUCUCAGCAGCUGUGGUGUUGGCUUGGUCAUGCAUAAAUGGACUUGUUGGAGUGGGAACCCAGUCAGACAUUUUAACUCCUUUCCUUUGGUCUUUGGAGUGAGAUAUUCCUAGACAUCAGACAACCACCACCUGCCCAGGAUUAUAAACUCUUCAAAAUCGCCUCUCCUGGAUAUUUCUCUCGUCUUAUCACUAGAAUCAAAAAUCAUCUUUAAUUAAAAUACUCAUUAAAUACACUUUUAAAUCUUUUACAUAGUCCUGUUCAGUCUUUAUUUCAGUGACUUAUUUAUAGUCAUUGCAGCUUCAAACAAAACCCAAACCUUUUAGGCCAAUGACAAAGGCCUUCCACUGGCUUGCGUCUUCCCAUCUCUACGAAUUAAAAUAAAUAAAAUAUGGA
Molecule: long non-coding RNA, 772 nt
Organism: Cherax quadricarinatus
Lineage: Eukaryota; Metazoa; Arthropoda; Malacostraca; Decapoda; Parastacidae
Source: RefSeq, a predicted model, not a curated record